GAGUCGCGAUUAGAUCCGGAUUUAACUCGCCCCGAGUUGCUCCCUGCGCUGACUGGCUGCUGCUCCCAGCAUACAGCCACGUGAAUUAGAAUCUCCCUCUUCCGUACAAAAUGUCACUUAGGAUUUGUAUUAGAGAGGUGGGAAAGAAAUACAUUUUUCAAAGAUAAUUAACAAAUUCAUACCUGGAUCCAUUCCUUAUAAUCAAGAGGCAAAAAGUCCAGAAGGGAUUUCCAGUCAUUGACAAAUGUUGAUCAAAAUUGAUCAUGAUUUAAGAAAAGUUGCGGGACUUAAUAUGUCUGGUUGCUGGGCAACUUUAUGGUGGUUUUCAUUGUUAAGAUUGGUAUAUCAUUCUGGAUGUUACCUCAUUGAUCCAAUUGCUGCAAGUAGUUUUAGCCACAUCCAUAAUUACGUCAAUGCAUCAAAUUUGGAUCAAGAUUAUUGUGAAAAGAAACUGAAAUUAACUACUUUAGAUGAAUGGAAACUUUCUACAGAAAUGUUCACAGCUACACUUCCUGUUGAUCAUAUUCAAGAGAAUUAUGUUCGUGAGGUUCAAGAUUGUAUUUUUUCUGUUGGAUAUCCUACACCAUUUAAUUCCAGAGUUCUACUUGUAGCUGUUUCAGAGGAAGUCCUGGAAGAAAUUCUGGAUUUAGACAUGUCUGCCUCAGGCUCAGAUGAUUUUCUACAGCUUGUCAGUGGUGCAAAAAUAAUCUUGGGAUCUCAACCCCUAACCCAUAGAUAUGGUGGCCAUCAGUUUGGUAGCUGGGCAGGACAGCUGGGUGAUGGAAGAGCCCACUUGAUCGGCAUUUAUACAAACAGAUUUGGAUCCAGAUGGGAACUGCAGCUCAAAGGUUCAGGAAGGACACCAUACUCCAGGAGAGGAGAUGGCAGAGCUGUGCUUCGGUCUUCUAUACGAGAAUUUUUGGGAAGUGAAGCCAUGCAUUACCUUGGAAUACCUACAAGCAGGGCAGCUAGCUUAGUUGUAAGUGAUGACAACGUUUGGAGAGAUCAGUUCUACAAUGGGAAUAUUAAGAAAGAAAGAGGUGCAAUUGUGUUACGUGUUGCAAAAUCAUGGUUUCGAAUAGGAUCAUUGGAAAUACUAGCUCAUUCUGGAGAACUGGAUUUAUUAAGGAUGCUGCUAGAUAUGGUCAUAAAAGAGCACUUUCCAAAAAUAAACGUAAAUGAUUCAAAUAAAUACCUGGCAUUUUUCUCUCAAGUAGUAUCUGAGACGGCACAUUUAAUUGGCUUGUGGAUGUCAGUCGGCUUUGCUCAUGGAGUAUGCAAUACUGAUAAUUUCAGUUUAUUAUCCAUAACCAUAGAUUAUGGUCCAUUUGGCUUCAUGGAUUCAUACAACCCAGACUUUGUUCCAAACACAUCUGAUGAUGAAGGACGGUAUAAAAUAGGAAAUCAGGCAAAUGUUGGAAUGUUUAAUCUGAACAAACUGCUUAAGGCUUUAAACCCUUUAUUUAGUCCAAGACAAAAGCAACUGGCUUCUCAGAUACUUGAAGGAUAUCCUCAACAAUAUUAUAAAGGCUUUAUAGAACUAUUCAAGACAAAAUUAGGUCUGCUAGGAGAGAAUGAGGAUGAUGAAUAUUUGAUUGCUUUUCUUCUAAAACUCAUGGAAAAUACAAGAGCAGAUUUCACAAUGACUUUUCGGCAACUCAGUGAGAUUUCAGAAGACAAACUCAAAAAUUUCAACAUACCUAAGGAAUUCUGGGCUUUGCAAGAUGUAGCUAAACACAACAACUUUUCAACCUGGAUUGCUAUGUACUUCUUGAGAUUAAAAAGGAAUAUGGGUGAUUCAGACUCUGAAAGGAGGAGAAGAAUGAGCAAGGCACAGCUGUUCCAGCUCAGCAACAGCUGCACUGCAGAUGCAGAAGGGGUGACUGACCAUCAGCCUCUCCAAUGAAGAAGCAGAGUGCAAGAAGAAUGUGCCCAAAGGGGCACGAUUUGCACGCAUGGUUGCAGAAACUGGUUGCCAGAGGAUACCAGUCAUCUUGAGAUCUGCAUGCUUGCCAGUGGACUAUAGAUUUGAAAAGGUUGGAAAUGUUUCUAGCGGCAAAGAAAGCCUCCUGUGUGGCAGAGCUCAGAAUUGAAGUACAGAAGCAGCAAGAUUUCAAAUAAAAAUGGCCACAAUUCUGUCAAUGGAAGCAGUGGUGGGUUGCCCCCAGUUUGGACCGGUUUGCAAGAACCGCUGGAGGCUCCGCCCACCGCCCCGGAUGUCAUCAGUGAUCUGUGCAUGUGCGAUCCUGUUGCGAACUGAUAGUAAAGGUGUUAACCCAAGAUAUGUGCUUAGAAAUUGGAUGGCAGAAUCAGCUGUCCAGAAGGCGGAAAUAAAUGAUUUUUCAGAGGUCCGCUUCUUGCAACAAGUUUUGCAACGUCCAUUUCUGGUACAGACCCUGGCUGAGAG
Molecule: RNA transcript, 2407 nt
Organism: Pantherophis guttatus
Lineage: Eukaryota; Metazoa; Chordata; Lepidosauria; Squamata; Colubridae
Source: RefSeq, a predicted model, not a curated record